AUUGAACGCUGGCGGCAUGCCUUACACAUGCAAGUCGAACGGUAACGCGGGGCAACCUGGCGACGAGUGGCGAACGGGUGAGUAAUAUAUCGGAACGUGCCCAGUAGUGGGGGAUAGCCCGGCGAAAGCCGGAUUAAUACCGCAUACGACCUGAGGGUGAAAGCGGGGAUCGCAAGACCUCGCGCUACUGGAGCGGCCGAUAUCAGAUUAGGUAGUUGGUGGGGUAAGAGCCACCAAGCCGACGAUCUGUAGCUGGUCUGAGAGGACGACCAGCCACACUGGGACUGAGACACGGCCCAGACUCCUACGGGAGGCAGCAGUGGGGAAUUUUGGACAAUGGGCGCAAGCCUGAUCCAGCCAUGCCGCGUGC
RNAcentral lists this ribosomal RNA (370 nucleotides) under uncultured bacterium. RNAcentral describes it as "bacterial SSU rRNA". It matches the Rfam family "Bacterial small subunit ribosomal RNA", at positions 29 to 404 of the family's 1533-position model. The record is from RNAcentral.